UUAUUUAACUAAACAAUGGAAUAAACAUUAUUUAGUCGCAAACUUCAAUAGCAAAACCAAAGUGCCCCAGGUGUCAAUGUAACCAUGUCGACGAAACCAUCGGGCAUUGUGGAUAAAACAAAGGCGCAUCGGUGACGUCACGCCGAGCCCAGAGUGCCGCGCGGCGUGCCGGAGUGAUGGCGUGUCCGUGUGCCGUGCGUGUUGAGGUCCCCGGCGUGUGUGUCGCGUGUCGUGUGUCGUGUGGCUGGCGGCGGCGUGCUGAGGCGGUCCUACGCGAGGAUCAAGCAGUACACCCGAUGGCCGGCCGGACCCUAUCUCUCCUUCGGGGGCCAAGUUGUGAUUUGCUUGACAGGAGCCGUGGUGCUGAACACUGGAGGCUGAAUGUGACGCUCCUUGUUGGCCGCUAUGAUGAUGAUGUGGUUUGGCUACUACCAGCUGAGAGGCCACAUCAUGCUGUCCUGAAGACUGGCCAGCAACCCGGACUCUAGAGCAGUGGCUUGCAUUGAGAGAACAACAAGAAGAAGAGGAAGAGGAGGAGGAGGAAGAGGAAGAAGAGGAGGACACAGGAAUUCCUUG
Molecule: long non-coding RNA, 576 nt
Organism: Eriocheir sinensis (Chinese mitten crab)
Lineage: Eukaryota; Metazoa; Arthropoda; Malacostraca; Decapoda; Varunidae
Exons: 4
Source: RefSeq, a predicted model, not a curated record